Molecule: ribosomal RNA, 254 nt
Filed under: uncultured bacterium
Lineage: Bacteria
Description: partial 16S ribosomal RNA
Rfam family: Bacterial small subunit ribosomal RNA
Source: RNAcentral
UACGUAGGGUGCGAGCGUUAAUCGGAAUUACUGGGCGUAAAGCGUGCGCAGGCGGUUUUGUAAGCCAGAUGUGAAAUCCCCGGGCUUAACCUGGGAAUGGCAUUUGGGACUGCAAGGCUUGAGUGCGGCAGAGGAGACUGGAAUUCCUGGUGUAGCAGUGAAAUGCGUAGAUAUCAGGAGGAACACCGAUGGCGAAGGCAGGUCUCUGGGCUGACACUGACGCUCAUGCACGAAAGCGUGGGGAGCAAACACGG